This 310-nucleotide ribosomal RNA is filed under the name Phoracantha semipunctata. RNAcentral's name for it is "partial large subunit ribosomal RNA". It matches the Rfam family "Eukaryotic large subunit ribosomal RNA", at positions 614 to 884 of the family's 3401-position model. The record is from RNAcentral. Lineage: Eukaryota; Metazoa; Arthropoda; Insecta; Coleoptera; Cerambycidae.
AUCUGCGACGCUAUAGCUUUGGGUACUUUCAGGACCCGUCUUGAAACACGGACCAAGGAGUCUAGCAUGUGCGCGAGUCAUUGGGACAUAACUAAACCUAAAGGCGUAAUGAAAGUGAAGGUCCGCCUUGCGCGGAUCGAGGGAGGAUGGGCGGUUCGCCCUUAAAGUGGCCGCUCCGCACUCCCGGGGCGUCUCGUUCUCAUCGCGAGAAGAGGCGCACCAAGAGCGUACACGCUGGGACCCGAAAGAUGGUGAACUAUGCCUGGUCAGGACGAAGUCAGGGGAAACCCUGAUGGAGGUCCGUAGCGAU